GGUUAAUUUUGAUUAAAAUAUUACUUUAUUUUUUUAGUUAAAGGGCACUUUAUGAACAUCUUGGUAAAAAAGUAAGGACGUCGCGCGACGAGACUUUGUUUAGGGAGGCACAGGCCUGUGAUCUUCAAAUUUCCUGAUAAGAAAACUUUGUUUUUUAAAUAUAAAAUAAUGUGAAUUGAAUCAUCUUAGUAACAUUAGAAUAAGAAUCAAACGAGAUACCGUAAGUAAUGGCGAAUGAACAUGGUUAAGACUAAAAUAUAAUGUAAAACUUUGAAUUUUAAAACUCAAGAAGGUGUAAGUCCUGUAGAAGUGAUAUAUAUAUAUAUUAUAUUUUGUAUGAAGUAGUAUGUUUUUGUAUGAAUAUAGAAGAACCACCUUCUAAGUCGAAAUAACUUUUUUAACCGAUAGUGAACGAGUACCGUGAGGGAAAGAUGGAAACUUCCGUUAGGAUAAAAACUAAUUAGUUAAAAAAAAUUAAGUGUCUAAAAUACUUUUGAAAUUUUUAGUUUUCUAAGAAUAACAAAUUGCCUUUUGCAUAAUGAGUCAGUAAGUUAAUAUGGUAUAGCGAGCUUAAGUAAGAUUAUGUAGGCGUUUUUAGUUAUACUUAUUAAACCUGAAGCCAAGUGAUCUAACUAUGAACAGGUUGAAAAUUCAGUAAUGUGCUUUUGAAGACCGAACCCGUAUAUGUUGCAAAAUAUUGGGAUGAUUUGUGGUUAGGGGUGAAAGGCCAAUCAAACUUGGCAAUAGCCGGUUUUUCACGAAACGUAUUUAAGUACUACGUUAAUAAAAUAAAUUGUAGGUAUAGUAACAAACUAAAUGAGGGGUGUAAAAAACUACUAAGUUUAAUUUAACUUCGAAUUAUAAUUUAAUUAUAUUAAUAGACAGUCUUUAAGCGAUAAGGUUUAAAGACAAAAGGGAAACAACCCGCAUCAUUUGUUAAGGUCUUAAAAUUUCAACUUAGUGGAGAAGAUUUUUUACAAAAUAAAUAGUUUGAAUAGGAUAGGCUUAGAAGCAGCUUUUCAUUGGAGAUAGCGUUUUAGCUCGUUAUUGUUUUGUAUGAAUUUAAAAUAAAGGAGGCUCAAAGUUGUAUACCGAAACAAUGAAUCAACAUAAUGUGAUGGUAGUGAAACGUUCUGUACAAAAUUAUUUUUUUUAAGGAAAUUUAAAGGAAAAUUCUAUCAGAAGUGCUAAUGCUGACAUGAGUAGCGUAAACUACGUAAUAAAAUCGUAGUCACCCAAUGCCCAAGGGUUUCAAUAUAAUUUUAAGUAUAUUGAGUUAGCCGAUCCUUAAGAGGAGAGUAAAUACUGAACUUGAUAGGUGAUUUGCCAACUAUAUAUAUAUUAUUUAAUAUGUAAAGGUUAAUAUAAUAAUAAAAAAUUUAUUAGGUUUGAUUUUUUAUAAAUAAUAUUAAUUUCAAGAAAGAUCUGUAGUUUUUAUUUGAUCGUACUUAAUCCGACACAGGUGGGCUUGUUGAAAAUACUAAGGUGAAUGGAUGAAUUGAAUUGAAGGAACUUGGCAAAUUUGCUCUGUAAGUUCGCGAGAAAGAGUAUCCAAAUUCGGUUGGAUGUCACAAAAUAAAAAGCAACGACUGGUUAUCAAAACCACAAGACUCUGCUAAUUAGUAUAUAAGACGUAUAGAGUUUGACACCUGCCCAGUGCUUAAAGUUAUCAUUUAUGAGUUUACGCUUGUAUUUUAAUCCUAAGUAAACGGCGGUUCUAACUAUAAGAAUCCUUAGGUAGCGAAAUUCCUUGACGGGUAAGUUCCGUCCUGCAUGAAUGGUGUCACGAUUGCUUUACUGUCUCCAAUUUAAGUCCAGCGAAAUUACAUAACCUAUGAAAAUGUAGGUAACCUGCAGUAAGACGGAAAGACCCUAGAUCCUUUACUUUAGUCUUACAUUGAAAAAUUUACUUUUUUAUGUAGAAUAAGUGGAAGUAACUUUUACAUAAAUGAAAUACCACUUAAAAACAGUAAUUUUUUCUAACUUGUUUAAUUAUUAAAUAAGGACAGUAUGAGAUGGGAAGUUUACUUGGGACGAGUACCUCCUAAAAUGUAACGGAGGUGUACAAAAGAUAAGUUAAAACUAAUAGGUUGGAUGUGCAAUGGCAGUAAGCUUGUUUGACAGUAAGAUUGAUAAAUCGCACUGAGACGUAAGUCGGUCAUAGUGAUCCGGUAGAAAUAGGUGGAAAUACUACCGCUCAACAAAUAAAAGGAACUCUAGGGAUAACAGAUUCAUCAUGGUUGAGAGUUCUUAUUGAUGCCAUGGUUUGAUACCUCGAUGUCGACUCAUCUUAUCCUGGAUUUGAAGCAGAUUCCAAGGGUCUAGUUGUUCGCUAGUGAAGAAGGUACGUGAGUUGGGUUCAGAACGUCGUGAGACAGUUCGGUCCCUAUCUGCUGUAGGUGUUGAAAAGAAUAGAAAUUAUUUCUAGUACGAGAGGACCGAAAUAUGUUAACCAAUAGUGUAUUGAUUGUUAAAAAACCAGUAGCAGGUCAAGUAGCCACGUUAAUAAUGUUUAUGCAUUGAAAGAAUCAAUAAAUGCGAAAACAUUUCUACACUUUUCAUGAAUAAUCUAGAAGACUACUAGAUAGAUCGGUUUAAUAUAACUAUUUAGUAAUAAAAUUUUUGUAUUUAAAUACGAAUUUAUUCAUUGAAAAAACAAAGUAAU
RNAcentral lists this ribosomal RNA (2665 nucleotides) under Lympha mucosa. Its description in RNAcentral is "LSU rRNA". It matches the Rfam family "Bacterial large subunit ribosomal RNA". Lineage: Eukaryota; Rhodophyta; Florideophyceae; Batrachospermales; Batrachospermaceae. The record is from RNAcentral.